GAUGAACGCUGGCGGCGUGCCUAAUACAUGCAAGUCGAGUGAACGGACGAGAAGCUUGCUUCUCUGAUGUUAGCGGCGGACGGGUGAGUAACACGUGGAUAACCUACCUAUAAGACUGGGAUAACUUCGGGAAACCGGAGCUAAUACCGGAUAAUAUUUUGAACCGCAUGGUUCAAAAGUGAAAGACGGUCUUGCUGUCACUUAUAGAUGGAUCCGCGCUGCAUUAGCUAGUUGGUAAGGUAACGGCUUACCAAGGCAACGAUGCAUAGCCGACCUGAGAGGGGGAUCGGCCACACUGGAACUGAGACACGGUCCAGACUCCUACGGGAGGCAGCAGUAGGGAAUCUUCCGCAAUGGGCGAAAGCCUGACGGAGCAACGCCGCGUGAGUGAUGAAGGUCUUCGGAUCGUAAAACUCUGUUAUUAGGGAAGAACAUAUGUGUAAGUAACUGUGCACAUCUUGACGGUACCUAAUCAGAAAGCCACGGCUAACUACGUG
This 497-nucleotide ribosomal RNA is filed under the name uncultured bacterium. RNAcentral describes it as "partial 16S ribosomal RNA". It matches the Rfam family "Bacterial small subunit ribosomal RNA", at positions 28 to 507 of the family's 1533-position model. The record is from RNAcentral.